GACGAACGCUGGCGGCGUGCCUAAUACAUGCAAGUAGAACGCUGAAGAGAGGAGCUUACUCUUCUUGGAUGAGUUGCGAACGGGUGAGUAACGCGUAGGUAACCUGCCUUGUAGCGGGGGAUAACUAUUGGAAACGAUAGCUAAUACCGCAUAACAAUGGAUGACACAUGUCAUUUAUUUGAAAGGGGCAAUUGCUCCACUACAAGAUGGACCUGCGUUGUAUUAGCUAGUAGGUGAGGUAAUGGCUCACCUAGGCGACGAUACAUAGCCGACCUGAGAGGGUGGUCGGCCACACUGGGACUGAGACACGGCCCAGACUCCUACGGGAGGCAGCAGUAGGGAAUCUUCGGCAAUGGGGGCAACCCUGACCGAGCAACGCCGCGUGAGUGAAGAAGGUUUUCGGAUCGUAAAGCUCUGUUGUAAGUCAAGAACGGGUGUGAGAGUGGAAAGUUCACACUGUGACGGUAGCUUACCAGAAAGGGACGGCUAACUACGUG
RNAcentral lists this ribosomal RNA (497 nucleotides) under uncultured bacterium. RNAcentral describes it as "partial 16S ribosomal RNA". It matches the Rfam family "Bacterial small subunit ribosomal RNA", at positions 28 to 507 of the family's 1533-position model. The record is from RNAcentral.